Non-coding RNA from Podarcis muralis (Common wall lizard), 1434 nucleotides. The record is from RefSeq and is a predicted model, not a curated record. NCBI's taxonomy places the organism in Eukaryota, Metazoa, Chordata, Lepidosauria, Squamata, Lacertidae.
AUGUUGGUGCACUGCCCACCAUCACAGAUAUCUGGGUUGUUUUCACAUUCAUCAAUGUCUAAAGGAAAAUUUUAUCACUGUGAAAUUCUGAACAGAUGGACAGAGCGAGGGCCGCAGGGGGCAGAGACUUUCAACACAAUGCUUUCUGCUACCAGCAAUCAGAAGGGAGACCGCAAUCAACCACGAUCAACAGCGUUUACUCAGGGAUAAACCAAUCGAUCACGAUCGACCUGUUGGACAUCGCUGGACUUAAGGAUUCCGCACAAGGCCUGACUAAGAGCUCCCAGGUCACACCUGUAAAAUGUUAUGGAGCAUUACCUCUUCCAUCCACUGUAAUUCCCACGCCACUGCUACACAGACCACGGAACUCAGCUUCUCAUACGAAAACAAAAAAGGUAGAAAAACGUAAGAAAAAUAAGUUAAGUAAUACUAUGUUUUAAUACCAUGUUACCUCAACUACUGCCGAUUCAAAUGGCAUGUUAUUUAACAUUUGCAAGCACUGUGGAAGGAAAUAACAGUCAUGACUAGGGAAGAAUGGCAAGCCAGUCCAGUCUGCUGGACUAUGCUGAAAUGGCAAAACUGACCGGGAGACUAGGGAACCAAGAAGAUACUUUUUUAAAAGAAUGGGAAAAUUCAUAACUUACUUAGGAAACCAUUGCAAACAGAUAAAAACGUUAGCUGAACUUUAAAAACCACUUGUGAAGAAAUGAAAGAUAUGGACAAUUUAGAGAAAUGAAAAUUGUGGAGAAUGUACGAAUAUGUAGUUUUAGAAAGAUUAUUAUAAGGACCCAUGUAGGGGACGGAUGGGGGGGGUCACAAGAUCCAGGGAACCUCAUAAAUUGAUAUGUUAAAGGUUUUUUCUUUUAAAAAAAACACUUUAAACUUGUUUUCAUAAAAACCAAUAAAAAAGAUUUCAAAAAAAAAACAACCACGAAAACAUUUGCAAGUACUGUAAGGUUUUUUUUUAUCGUUUAUGUACUUAUUAAAUUUAUAUCCCACCCUUCCUCCCAAAGGAGCCCAGGGCAGCCGACAAGUGAUAAAACAAAGAAAACAUCUUUAAAACAAUUCCAAUACAGAUGUAAAGUGGGAAAGAUCUCUACCUAAAAGGCUCAUUGGACGACAAAGGUCUUCAGUAGGCAAGAAAAAGACAACUGAGACAAAACCUGUCUAGUUUUCAAAGUACAGUGCCACAACACUGAAAGCCUGAUUACUACAUUGUACAGAACAGAGUAUCCACCCUAAUCUGCAGGGUGCAGUGAUCUAUUGGUGAGAUUAUAUUUUGGGUAUCCUGGUUCCCAUCUGUAUAUGACUUUAUACACAAAACCAGCACCUUGAACUUAGCCCAGUAGCUAACUGGCAGUCUGUGCAAUUCUUUUAACAGCAGGGUAAAGGUAAAGGGUAAAGGGACCCCUGACCAUUAGGUCCAGUCGUGGC